This 727-nucleotide non-coding RNA is filed under the name Nepiomorpha sp. NespEL. Lineage: Eukaryota; Metazoa; Arthropoda; Insecta; Psocodea; Elipsocidae. The record is from RNAcentral.
UAAAGUUUUAUUCUUGCUUCUUAUUGGAUUAAUUUAUUUUUUAAAUACGUUUGUUAGAUUAGAUUGUAGUAUUAGAAAAUUUUAUUUCAAAUUUUAUAUUUGUAAUAGAAAUAAAUUUAAAAGUAGUUAAAAUUGUGCCAGCAACUGCGGUUAAACAAUUGCUUUAAUUUAAUAUUAUAAAAAUUUUGAUAUUUUGAUUUUUUUUUAUUAAAAAAAUUUAUUUUAGGUGAAAUUUAAUAUUUUAUUUUUAUUCAUAAGAUAAACAAUCAAAAAAACUAAUUUAAAAACUAGAAUUAGAUACUCUACUAUAUUUAGUAAAAUUUAAAAUUUUAGGUAGUAAAUGUUAUGUUCAGGAAACUUAAAGAAUUUGGCGGUAUUUAUUCUUAUCAGAGGAAUAUGUUUUUUAAUCGAUAAUCCACGUUUAUUCAACUUUAUUUGAUUUAUUUUGUAUAUCUCCGUCUAAAAAAAUUAUUUAAAAAUAUAUUUUUAAAUUUAAAUUUAAAAGAAGUCAGGUCAAGGUGCAGAUUAUGAUAAAGUUAAAAUGUAUUACAAUAAACUUAUUUUUGGACUUAUUAUGAAAAAUUUAAUGAAAUUGGAUUUGAAAGUAAAUUGAUUUAUAUAAUAAUUUAUUGAACUAUGUAAAUAAAUAUGUACAUAUUGCCCGUCGUUCUCUUUAGGAGGUAAGUCGUAACAAAGUAGAUUUACUGGAAAGUGAAUCUGGUUUCAA